CCUGAGUGUUGAACCACCAGGAAGAUGAGUGGGGGAACUCGUUAAUCCAUGCCUGGGUGACUCUGAAACCAGCAUCGCAGCCUCAGCGAGUGACAUUUGGGCAGUUGUAGCUCUUCUUUAGCACAGAUCGCAACGAACGCAACAAACCAGAGCCUCGUUCUUCCAGCCAAGGACCCUUGUCAUCCAUCAGAGCAGUAAUCAAGAGAUGUAAGUUUGUUUCUUCCUGCUCUGGGUUUUACUCUGUGAUAAUUUUAAAUGAUGGUUUAGAUUUCUAGGAAGAGUGUAUUGAUGACUCUCUAAAGAACCUCACAAGAACAGCUUGUUCUGUUCUUGUAAUAAAGCAUUUCAGACAAACA
Molecule: long non-coding RNA, 356 nt
Filed under: Castor canadensis (American beaver)
Lineage: Eukaryota; Metazoa; Chordata; Mammalia; Rodentia; Castoridae
Description: lncRNA (ENSCCNG00000009659.1)
Source: RNAcentral